This is a non-coding RNA of Poecilia reticulata (guppy), 1080 nucleotides long. The record is from RefSeq and is a predicted model, not a curated record. Lineage: Eukaryota; Metazoa; Chordata; Actinopteri; Cyprinodontiformes; Poeciliidae.
CCCACCAGGACGACUGGCACUCCGGGGCAGUGAUCUCUGACCUCUCCGGUCCACUGCAGCAGGAGCAUGGAGACUGGAUCAGUGUUCACGCAGCUCUGUGGAUCUCACUAUAUCACGGCGCACUUCUUCUUGACCUUCUGGUUGGGAGCGGUCACAGAACACAUCACCACCCUGACGGCUUCGUCAAACACGGUCUUGAGGCCGCGCUGCGUCAGAGCCGAGCACUCCAGGUCAGACUUGGUGCCCACCAGGAUCAUGGGGGUGUUGGGGCAGUGGUGCUUCAGCUCCACACUCCACUGCAGGAACAGCCAGCAGGAUGUUUUCAGACCAACUGACACGACAGCAGCAGGAUCUGUUUCCUUUCGUUCUUUAGCAAUGUCUUAUUAAUAUAGAACAUUUCAGCAGCAAGACGGAUCAAAGUGCUUCACAUGAUGAAAACAUGAGACCAUAACUAAAUGUACCAUCACCGAAUAUACAUCAAAUAUAUGAAUGAAUCAAUGAUUUGGUAAUUAUUUAUUGAAGAAACUCUAAGCUGGUGGGUUUUGAGCCGUGAUUUAAAGGAAGUCAGUGUUUCAGCUGUUUUGAAUAUUUCUGGUAGUUUAUUCCAGAUUUGUGGUGCAUAGAAGCUGAAUGCUGUUUGUCCAUGUUUGGUUCUGCUUCUAUAAAUGCAGAGUAAACUAGAACCAGGAGUGGGGGUGUACGGGCUGCUGUUUUCUGACCGAUCGCCAAUUACUGCUCUUUAAGAACACUGGCCUGCCAAUUCUAAUUUUGGUAGAUCAGUUUUCGGUCUGAAAUGAAAGAAAAUAAGUCGGUGAGUUGGUGACAGUGCUGUGAUUAUUGUUAAACAUGCAGGCAUGACCUGGUGGGUCAAUCAGUCAAACCUUUCUGACAGACGAGCAGAAGAGGACAGUGGCUGAUUUUUAGACCAUUGCUCAGGAAGAAAAGAUUGAUGGAUGAUAUCAGCUUCACUUAUGUAUGUAAACCCACCGUCUGAGGGUAGGACAGAGGUCUGAGUCUGUCGUAGUCCUCCUGUCCUGCUGUGUCCCACAGACCCAGGGACACUGGUUUCCCAUCCAGUAG